RNAcentral lists this ribosomal RNA (254 nucleotides) under uncultured bacterium. RNAcentral's name for it is "partial 16S ribosomal RNA". It matches the Rfam family "Bacterial small subunit ribosomal RNA", at positions 524 to 776 of the family's 1533-position model. The record is from RNAcentral.
UACGGGGGGGGCAAGCGUUGUUCGGAAUUACUGGGCGUAAAGGGCUCGUAGGCGGCCAACUAAGUCAGACGUGAAAUCCCUCGGCUUAACCGAGGAACUGCGUCUGAUACUGGAUGGCUUGAAUCCGGGAGAGGGAUGUGGAAUUCCAGGUGGAGCGGUGAAAUGCGUAGAUGUCGGGAGGAACAACGGUGGGGAAGGGGGCAUCCUGGACCGGUAUUGACGAUGAGUGAGCGAAAGCCAGGGGAGCAAACGGG